This 119-nucleotide ribosomal RNA is filed under the name Triticum aestivum (bread wheat). Lineage: Eukaryota; Viridiplantae; Streptophyta; Magnoliopsida; Poales; Poaceae. The record is from RNAcentral.
GGAUGCGAUUAUACCAGCACUAAAGAAUCGGAUCCUACCAGAACUCUGAAGUUAAGCGUGCUUGGGCGAGAGUAGUACUAGGAUGGGUGACCUCUUGGGAAGUCCUCGUGUUGCAUUCC